This 208-nucleotide ribosomal RNA is filed under the name Morganella morganii. RNAcentral's name for it is "partial 16S ribosomal RNA". It matches the Rfam family "Bacterial small subunit ribosomal RNA", at positions 1 to 213 of the family's 1533-position model. Lineage: Bacteria; Pseudomonadati; Pseudomonadota; Gammaproteobacteria; Enterobacterales; Morganellaceae. The record is from RNAcentral.
UAAUUGAAGAGUUUGAUCAUGGCUCAGAUUGAACGCUGGCGGCAGGCCUAACACAUGCAAGUCGGGCGGUAACAGGGAGAAGCUUGCUUCUCCGCUGACGAGCGGCGGACGGGUGAGUAAUGUAUGGGGAUCUGCCUGAUGGCGGGGGAUAACUACUGGAAACGGUAGCUAAUACCGCAUAAUGUCUACGGACCAAAGCGGGGGACCU